RNAcentral lists this ribosomal RNA (497 nucleotides) under uncultured bacterium. RNAcentral's name for it is "partial 16S ribosomal RNA". It matches the Rfam family "Bacterial small subunit ribosomal RNA", at positions 28 to 507 of the family's 1533-position model. The record is from RNAcentral.
GAUGAACGCUGGCGGCGUGCCUAAUACAUGCAAGUCGAGCGAACAGACGAGGAGCUUGCUCCUCUGACGUUAUCGGCGGACGGGUGAGUAACACGUGGAUAACCUACCUAUAAGACUGGGAUAACUUCGGGAAACCGGAUCUAAUACCGUAUAAGAUAUUGAACCACAUGGUUCAAUAGUGAAAUACGGUUUUGCUGUUACUAAUAGAUGCAGCGGCGCCGCAUUAGCUAGUUGGUAAGGUAACGGCUUACAAAGGCAACGAUGCGUAGCCGACCUGGGAGGGUGAUCGGCCACACUGGAACUGAGACACGGUCCAGACUCCUACGGGAGGCAGCAGUAGGGAAUCUUCCGCAAUGGGCGAAAGCUGGACGGAGCAACGCCGCGUGAGUGAUGAAGGUCUUCGGAUCGUAAAACUCUGUUAUUAGGGAAGAACAAAUGUGUAAGUAACUAUGCACGUCUUGACGGUACCUAAUCAGAAAGCCACGGCUAACUACGUG